UGGGGAAUUUUGGACAAUGGGGGAAACCCUGAUCCAGCCAUCCCGCGUGUGCGAUGAAGGCCUUCGGGUUGUAAAGCACUUUUGGCAGGAAAGAAACGUCGCGGGUUAAUACCCCGCGAAACUGACGGUACCUGCAGAAUAAGCACCGGCUAACUACGUGCCAGCAGCCGCGGUAAUACGUAGGGUGCAAGCGUUAAUCGGAAUUACUGGGCGUAAAGCGUGCGCAGGCGGUUCGGAAAGAAAGAUGUGAAAUCCCAGAGCUUAACUUUGGAACUGCAUUUUUUAACUACCGGGCUAGAGUGUGUCAGAGGGAGGUGGAAUUCCGCGUGUAGCAUGAAAUGCGUAGAUAUGCGGAGGAACACCGAUGGCGAAGGCAGCCUCCUGGGAUAACACUGACGCUCAUGCACGAAAGCGUGGGGAGCAAACAGGAUUAGAUACCCUGGUAGUCCACGCCCUAAACGAUGUCAACUAGCUGUUGGGGCCUUCGGGCCUUGGUAGCGCAGCUAACGCGUGAAGUUGACCGCCUGGGGAGUACGGUCGCAAG
This 544-nucleotide ribosomal RNA is filed under the name uncultured bacterium. Its description in RNAcentral is "partial 16S ribosomal RNA". It matches the Rfam family "Bacterial small subunit ribosomal RNA", at positions 355 to 892 of the family's 1533-position model. The record is from RNAcentral.